GUGGUUAUGAGCACGUGUUGCUUUUCCAGAGGACCUGGGUUCAAUUCCCAGUAACCACA
Molecule: transfer RNA, 59 nt
Filed under: Neotoma lepida (desert woodrat)
Lineage: Eukaryota; Metazoa; Chordata; Mammalia; Rodentia; Cricetidae
Source: Rfam by way of RNAcentral